Molecule: long non-coding RNA, 4803 nt
Filed under: Podarcis lilfordi (Lilford's wall lizard)
Lineage: Eukaryota; Metazoa; Chordata; Lepidosauria; Squamata; Lacertidae
Source: RNAcentral
AUGUGGAUUGCUGUUUGCCCGACCCUAGGACUGGACCUGACUUUGAAUGCUGACUCUGCCUCCAGGCAAGUACACUUCAGAGACUCUUCUGGUUGGCUGGCCUCCCAUUCCACUAAGCUCUGCACUUGGUUGCUUAGCAACGAGACAAUGACACCACUCUCCUACACUAGAGCAGGGGUGGAGAACCUCUGGACAGUGGGCCAAAUCUGACCCCCCCCCGGCACUUGGCUCAUGAGGUAGCUUUCCCCAAACUAUACCCGCCUGCUCCAAACCUGAUGUCAUAAUGCAAUGUUGAAUGAGGGCACAGGUAGGAACCUGGCUGUUUUCCCUACAGGAAGCAGGAUUGAAUCCCUCAUCUUAUCUGCUGAUGGGUGUAUGUGGGAGUUAAGAAGUCCUGUUUGAUGUCUGUCUCCCCCCCCCCCCACUCCCACAGGCCAAUUUCAUCAGGUGAGUGGUCAAAGUUGGUGCACAGGGUGGUGGAUAUAAAGAUCUGGUCUGCUAGGCCUGAAAGGUCCCCCAGUUUUGCACUAGAGAUAUGGUGCCAGUCUGGGUAGACAAGACAUGGACCAAUGGCUUGAGCCGGUGUGGUGUAGUGGUUAAGAGCAGUAGACUUGUAAUCUGGUGAACCGGGUUCACGUCUCCGCUCCUCCACAUGCAGCUGCUGGGUGACCGUGGGCCAGUCACACUUCUUUGAAGUCUCUCAGCCCCACUCACCUCACAGAGUGUUUGUUGUGAGGGAGGAAGGGAAAGCAGAACGUUAGCUGCUUUGAGACUCCUUCAGGUAGUGAUAAAGCGGGAUAUCAAAUCCAAACUCUCCUCCUCCUCCUCCUCCUCCUCCUCCUUGACUGGUAUAGAAUUAUAGAACUGUAGAGUUGGGAGGGACCCCAAGAGUUAUCUAGUCCAACCCCCUGCAAUGCAGGAAUCUCAGCUAAAGCAUCCAUGACAGCUAUCCAACCUCUGCUUAAAAGCUUUCAAGGAAAGAGAGUCCACAACCUCCUGAGGGAGACCAUGGAAAGCAGCUCCUGUGUUCCUCUUUUUUUUUUUUUUUUUUAAUAAUAUUUAUUGAGAUUUCAAAAGAAAACAGAAAAAAUACAAAAAUUACACAAAAACAAAAAAUAAGAAAUACAAAAACUUACACACAAUAUGAAAAAGAUACAAAAGUAAAAAAAAUAAAAAUAUGAAAAAGUAAGAAAUACAGAAGAAAAAUAAUAGUAAAGAAGAAAAAACAUUAGACCUCCUCCUCCUCCCUUCCUUUGUAUUCUAGUUAUUAAUUAUCCCAGCAAAUCCUUUCCAUUUUUCUAUUAUAUAAUAGACCUUACAAUUUAAAAUUUAAAUCUUAAUUAUACCAACUUCUUAUAUUCAUAAUGUUCUUUCACAAAUCCUUUCCUUCUAUUAUAAAAUAAACUUUAAAAUUUAAAAUUUAGAUCUUGACUUUACCCACUUCUUAUAUUCAUAAUGUUCUUUCAUAAUUCUUUAUACAUUUUUGCUAAAGCCAGGUAAAUUCUUCCAACAUUUUCCUAUCAUUCAUUUUUCUCUCAUUCUAUCAUUCAUCAGCUUUAUAAAACAUUCUAUUAAUUAAAAAAAAAAAAAAAAAAAAAGAGAGAAAGAAGCAUAUAAUCAAGUCCAAUCUUAAUCCAACGUCCCUUCCUCCUGGUUUCGGGAUUUGUCAGUCCUUAUUCAUCAAACUAACCCGGUGACCUUAUGUCCGAGGCCCUCAAGUCACUUCCAUGGCCCUUCCGCAGCUUUUCUUCAUAUUUGUGGCUGUAGUCACUUGCUCGUAGUAGCUCCAACUUAAUAGUGCUUUUAACCCUUCUCAUCAGAUCAGAUCCUUUUCCCUGUUCAUCGCUGCAUUCCAUGUAGUAUUUAAGAGCAUACUUCAAGGGCCCCCCAAAUUUGUGGACCCCCACAUUUCCAGACAUGUCGCAGCCUGUUACUGAAUUUAAAAAGUCCAAAUAUCCCAACAUAGGGGGGUCAAUCCAGCCCCCCAUUUCGAAACCACACCGAACUUUCCCUUCCCAUAUCUGAUUUUUCCCAGAUUCCAUUAUCAAGUCCGAAGGAUCAAGCUCCUGUUGAGACUGUUCUGUCAAGCCACACUCCUGAUUUAAUGCCACAAACCCCUGUUCUGUCAAAACACACUCCUGGUUUGAAUCCUGGAUAGACUCCACAUCUAUUCCCACAGUUUGAUCAACGCCUUCCACUGCCAGUCCGAGAUUUCCAGUCGACUUGGCCAUCUGGUUCACCUUAUCAUGUAGUUCUUCCAGUAGAAUAUUUGUUUCUUUGAGCAGGCAAACCACAGCUUCUGAAAACAUUGUUGCACUCUCCCACGGUUCUUUGUAACAACUGUCAAGUCCUUGGCAUUAGUUACAGUUUCUAAAGCUCCCCCUAAGGGUAAGACUUAUAUUUGUUUCUGAUACAUUUCCAUGUUACUUAAAAUCCUUUAUCCUUAUAUAUUCGUUUAAAGUGUGAAAGGGAACAAUAGAGUCACAAAAAUUCUCUUCUUUUAACCAUCUGACACACACAGAUACCUUGAUUUGUUCACGUCAGUCCUGACUUCCCGCUCCAGGAUCAGGACGAAAAUAACUUCCUUUUACUGCUUCAAAUAGUCCAAAAAAAUAUUCCCAAUUUAAAAUGUUGGAUUCCACUCUUUUAAAAGCAAUUUUCAAAGCUCUAGUACAAUUUGACUUUGCUUUGUUAUGUUUACAAAAGAACGGAAGGGUGACUUCCUGUUUAGCCCUUACCGCUCCGUACCAAAUUCAAUCAAUUUUUCUUUCUUUUUUUUAUAGUCCAAUUCUGCCCUUUUCACUAAUCUUCCUUUAGUAUCCCAAUUUGUCCAAAUUCUGGGUACUCACGGAUAUUUGUUUUAAAGUCCGAAUUGUCCAGGAAAAAAGGCAGCGCUCUCCGGCAACAGCUACGCGGCUUCACUCCACAAAAGAAGCAGACGACUCACAGCACAGCGCCUUCACUUCCCCGCUCUGUUCCGGAGCCCGUUGCCGGGUUCCUUUGCAGACCGGGGGGGCGCAAACAGUGCCCGCCGAGUCCCAGGGUCACAGGCUUCACCCGCCUGUGGUUUGAAGGGUCCCCGCUGCGCCGAAGCGGUUUUAGACCCGAUUUCUGUGGAGCGAUCUCCCUCUGGGUUAGAGGGAUUCCGCCAUUGCCGUUGGCGCCACCUCCGGAAGUCCUGUGUUCCUCUUUAAUGCUGUUUGGGAACAGAUUUUCAAGGCAGGCCCAUUUCAAACUGAGCAAGGCAAAGGUUGUGGCAACACUGGCUGUGCCCAUUGAUUCAAUACCGCAGAAGUUGAGAUGCAAGCCUAAUGAGGGCAGGGUUUUGAGAAAAGGCUCUGUUGCUGUUCACAUUUCAGGAAAGGAGGUUAAAGCGCCUUUCAUCUUUGCUGCAGCUUAGGAGAAAGUGACUGAGAUAUGUGUGGGUCUUUGCAGGAUCAGAAAUCCCACUGGAAAGCUUUUGCGAGCCAUCUUUUCUCUGUAGGCUUGUCCAUCUAUAUUGCUUUUGGAUGCGGUCCUAAGGGGGGAAAAGGGGAAUAUGGCUUACUUCAGUAUGCAAUGUGAGAAAAGGCUCCUGCCUCUCCUUUUGAAUGGCAGUCCCAAGUAAUGCAAACCUUGAUGCAGCACACGUCUAAGCUCUUUGGAGUACCAUUAUUUUCAACCUGAGAGUUAACUACAUGCACAAAUAUCUUCUGCCGAAAGCUGUGGCACUUUUAAGUGCCUAACUUUGGAUCAUGUUGCUGGUUAAAUUAUUUCACUUGAUUCUUGAAGCAACAGUAAAUAUAUGUGUGAUCAGACACUGAUUUUCACUUUUUUGGGGGGGGGGAGGUUGCAGUGAGCUGGGGGGGGCAGAUGCCAGUGGUGGUCUGGGUCAGUGGGUGGAGCAACGAAUGUAAAUUUUAACCCCUUACUGUAGGCUAAUUUUCACACCCACCUGCUCUUUCCCCCAGGCAUGGUCAGAGUCCAAUGGAAGACUUGAAGUAGCCUAAAUACGCAAGGAACCAGCAGCACCAGUGAGGAACCUGCCUUGGGGAUAUGUGGUGUGGCUUGGGAGGGUGUGUGCCCAAGAGUCCCAAGGAGAAAGUAGAGAUCUUUGGAGGGCUUGAAUUCAUUCCCUGAGAUCCCCACCCCUUCUUUAAUGAAUGCUUCCACCAUAAUGUCUUUCAGAAUCCCCCCUUUUUCUUCCGGCUAUAGAUUUCACAGGCUGAUGAGUCAGUUACACCAACUUCAAUCCCCAUUGCUAUGAUAUAAUUGCACACAGACACAGGGACAGAACCUUCAUCUGUAAAAUAGAAGAGAUGCCUAAAGCGGCUUUCAUAUGUACCCCAAUAAUCUCAUGGCGAGACACAAGGAUUUGGUCGUCUGCAGCUGUUUGCCUCUGCUAUUUAGGUCCACACCAACUUCCUCUACCCUGACUACCCUUGAUAAGUAUGAAAAGGAAAUUAAACCUAUAGCUGGAUUGCUGCUCAGAUGGCCCCAUCGCAUCAAAGCGAGCACACAGCUUAGCUGGCUGUCAGAAUGCCUCCUGACUCCAUUAUUCUGCUAUUAUAACUUUUCAAGGGUACUUGCAAGAUCGAGCCUCAUAUGGUAACUGGUGUGAGUCGAAUUCCAUCAGGAGAAAGCUGCUGUUCUGUGCAGAAAGGGGUCGGGGGAAUUACGUCCUUAUCUGCAUGAUUUUUCAGUUACAUUAACACAAGGACAGCAGCAAAUUCGUUCCUCACAAUUCCCUGUACUCUCCGAUGCGGUCAUUAAAAUCCCCAUUCAGAGAGCUUGAGUCUCAACAUGUUUCAACAUACCCCAAAC